Long non-coding RNA from Erigeron canadensis, 566 nucleotides. RefSeq lists it as uncharacterized. NCBI's taxonomy places the organism in Eukaryota, Viridiplantae, Streptophyta, Magnoliopsida, Asterales, Asteraceae. The transcript is spliced from 3 exons. The record is from RefSeq and is a predicted model, not a curated record.
CAAUGUCCAUUUUACAAUAUUGGAAGUGUUGUUAUUUAUUUACUGUAUUUGUUUUUAAUUUAUCGUAAUUUAGUUGCUACUGCGAUCUCUAAACAGAAUGCAUAUAUGUUAGAUUCUAUGAUUUGUUGGAAUGUGAUCCUUAUUUUUCCGAUUUAGUUUUGUAUUUUCCAUUGUUUUAACUUGUCUAUGUUGUCCAGAAUCGACCCUUCAUUUGGUGUUGAGGCUUAGGGGGGGAGCCAGGAUCUGUUACGGAGUUGAACCUUCUUUGAUUGCUUUGGCUAAUAAGUAUAUCCAAAACAAGAAAAUUUGCCGCAAGUAUAGAGGUGUUAUGCUCGUCUCCCACCAAGGGCUAUGAACUGCAGGAAGAAGAAGUGUGGCCACAACAACCAACUGAGGCUGAAGAAAGUUCCGAGCCCAUGGCAUUGAAGACAUAUGUUUGUUUUGCAUAAAGAAUUUGUCUAAUUUAUCUUAGAACAUGUGCAUUCUUGUUCAGUAAACUUACUGGAUCGUUUGUUUAGUUUAAGAAGCACUAUUGUUUUAGAAGUGGUGCAUUGCAUUCGCUGUUA